GUCGCCGCGUGCCGGCCGGG
This 20-nucleotide non-coding RNA is filed under the name Arabidopsis thaliana (thale cress). Lineage: Eukaryota; Viridiplantae; Streptophyta; Magnoliopsida; Brassicales; Brassicaceae. The record is from RNAcentral.